Molecule: ribosomal RNA, 389 nt
Filed under: uncultured bacterium
Lineage: Bacteria
Description: bacterial SSU rRNA
Rfam family: Bacterial small subunit ribosomal RNA
Source: RNAcentral
GACGAACGCUGGCGGCGUGCUUAACACAUGCAAGUCGAGCGGUAAGGCCCUUUCGGGGGUACACGAGCGGCGAACGGGUGAGUAACACGUGGGUGACCUGCCCUCAGCUCUGGGAUAAGCCUGGGAAACUGGGUCUAAUACCGGAUAUGACUCCAUGACGCAUGUUGUGGGGUGGAAAGCCUUGUGCGGCUGAGGAUGGGCCCGCGGCCUAUCAGCUUGUUGGUGGGGUGANGGCCUACCAAGGCGACGACGGGUAGCCGGCCUGAGAGGGCGACCGGCCACACUGGGACUGAGACACGGGCCCAGACUCCUACGGGAGGCAGCAGUGGGGAAUCUUGCGCAAUGGGCGAAAGCCUGACGCAGCGACGCCGCGUGAGGGAUGACGGCCU